UGGUGCGAUCAUACCAACACUAAUGCAUUGGAUCCCAUCAGAACUCCGCAGUGAAGAGUGCUUGGGCGAGAGCAGUACUAGGACGAGUGAUAUGAUUCCACUAU
RNAcentral lists this ribosomal RNA (104 nucleotides) under Phaseolus vulgaris (common bean). Lineage: Eukaryota; Viridiplantae; Streptophyta; Magnoliopsida; Fabales; Fabaceae. The record is from RNAcentral.